GUGACCUCGGAUCAGGUAGAAUGCCAAC
This 28-nucleotide ribosomal RNA is filed under the name Fusarium cf. equiseti MY-2011. Its description in RNAcentral is "partial 28S large subunit ribosomal RNA". The record is from RNAcentral. Lineage: Eukaryota; Fungi; Ascomycota; Sordariomycetes; Hypocreales; Nectriaceae.